Molecule: long non-coding RNA, 376 nt
Organism: Vitis riparia (riverbank grape)
Lineage: Eukaryota; Viridiplantae; Streptophyta; Magnoliopsida; Vitales; Vitaceae
Exons: 4
Source: RefSeq, a predicted model, not a curated record
GUCCUCAACCUUUUUUCGAUAGAAAAACAUCCAUCGUGAGUAAGUACAUUAGCGAAUUGGAUGAUUGCGAGAAGCUAUUUAUUCCAAUGCAUGACGAUUGCCCUGGUCAUUGGUAUCUGUGCGUCAUUGACUUCAAAGACUUGAUAUCCAAAUUUUGGAUUCAUUACGAUCGAAGAGUCGGGACGAGUUCCGGUUUAAGAGUGUGAAAAAAGUGGUUGAAUUUUGUCAGACGUUCUUCAAACUGUAUGACAUAGGGAAAGAUGUCUUCCAAUUCUCCAUUGAUUGGGCUCCUUCCAUUCUGACCCAAGAUAAUGGGUGGGACUGUGGAGUGCAUGUCAUUAGACAUAUGCAGAGAUUCAAAAAUGGUGAUUCGAUG